AACAUCUAAGUACCCCGAGGAAAAGAAAUCAACCGAGAUUCCCCCAGUAGCGGCGAGCGAACGGGGAGGAGCCCAGAGCCUGAAUCAGUGUGUGUGUUAGUGGAAGCGUCUGGAAAGGCGUGCGAUACAGGGUGACAGCCCCGUACACAAAAAUGCACAUAUUGUGAGCUCGAUGAGUAGGGCGGGACACGUGGUAUCCUGUCUGAAUAUGGGGGGACCAUCCUCCAAGGCUAAAUACUCCUGACUGACCGAUAGUGAACCAGUACCGUGAGGGAAAGGCGAAAAGAACCCCGGCGAGGGGAGUGAAAAAGAACCUGAAACCGUGUACGUACAAGCAGUGGGAGCCUCUUAAUGGGGUGACUGCGUACCUUUUGUAUAAUGGGUCAGCGACUUAUAUUCUGUAGCAAGGUUAACCGAAUAGGGGAGCCGAAGGGAAACCGAGUCUUAACUGGGCGUUAAGUUGCAGGGUAUAGACCCGAAACCCGGUGAUCUAGCCAUGGGCAGGUUGAAGGUUGGGUAACACUAACUGGAGGACCGAACCGACUAAUGUUGAAAAAUUAGCGGAUGACUUGUGGCUGGGGGUGAAAGGCCAAUCAAACCGGGAGAUAGCUGGUUCUCCCCGAAAGCUAUUUAGGUAGCGCCUCGUGAAUUCAUCUCCGGGGGUAGAGCACUGUUUCGGCAAGGGGGUCAUCCCGACUUACCAACCCGAUGCAAACUGCGAAUACCGGAGAAUGUUAUCACGGGAGACACACGGCGGGUGCUAACGUCCGUCGUGAAGAGGGAAACAACCCAGACCGCCAGCUAAGGUCCCAAAGUCAUGGUUAAGUGGGAAACGAUGUGGGAAGGCCCAGACAGCCAGGAUGUUGGCUUAGAAGCAGCCAUCAUUUAAAGAAAGCGUAAUAGCUCACUGGUCGAGUCGGCCUGCGCGGAAGAUGUAACGGGGCUAAACCAUGCACCGAAGCUGCGGCAGCGACACUAUGUGUUGUUGGGUAGGGGAGCGUUCUGUAAGCCUGUGAAGGUGGCCUGUGAGGGUUGCUGGAGGUAUCAGAAGUGCGAAUGCUGACAUAAGUAACGAUAAAGCGGGUGAAAAGCCCGCUCGCCGGAAGACCAAGGGUUCCUGUCCAACGUUAAUCGGGGCAGGGUGAGUCGACCCCUAAGGCGAGGCCGAAAGGCGUAGUCGAUGGGAAACAGGUUAAUAUUCCUGUACUUGGUGUUACUGCGAAGGGGGGACGGAGAAGGCUAUGUUGGCCGGGCGACGGUUGUCCCGGUUUAAGCGUGUAGGCUGGUUUUCCAGGCAAAUCCGGAAAACCAAGGCUGAGGCGUGAUGACGAGGCACUACGGUGCUGAAGUGACAAAUGCCCUGCUUCCAGGAAAAGCCUCUAAGCAUCAGGUAACAUCAAAUCGUACCCCAAACCGACACAGGUGGUCAGGUAGAGAAUACCAAGGCGCUUGAGAGAACUCGGGUGAAGGAACUAGGCAAAAUGGUGCCGUAACUUCGGGAGAAGGCACGCUGAUAUGUAGGUGAAGCGACUUGCUCGUGGAGCUGAAAUCAGUCGAAGAUACCAGCUGGCUGCAACUGUUUAUUAAAAACACAGCACUGUGCAAACACGAAAGUGGACGUAUACGGUGUGACGCCUGCCCGGUGCCGGAAGGUUAAUUGAUGGGGUUAGCGGUAACGCGAAGCUCUUGAUCGAAGCCCCGGUAAACGGCGGCCGUAACUAUAACGGUCCUAAGGUAGCGAAAUUCCUUGUCGGGUAAGUUCCGACCUGCACGAAUGGCGUAAUGAUGGCCAGGCUGUCUCCACCCGAGACUCAGUGAAAUUGAACUCGCUGUGAAGAUGCAGUGUACCCGCGGCAAGACGGAAAGACCCCGUGAACCUUUACUAUAGCUUGACACUGAACAUUGAGCCUUGAUGUGUAGGAUAGGUGGGAGGCUUUGAAGUGUGGACGCCAGUCUGCAUGGAGCCGACCUUGAAAUACCACCCUUUAAUGUUUGAUGUUCUAACGUUGGCCCGUAAUCCGGGUUGCGGACAGUGUCUGGUGGGUAGUUUGACUGGGGCGGUCUCCUCCUAAAGAGUAACGGAGGAGCACGAAGGUUGGCUAAUCCUGGUCGGACAUCAGGAGGUUAGUGCAAUGGCAUAAGCCAGCUUGACUGCGAGCGUGACGGCGCGAGCAGGUGCGAAAGCAGGUCAUAGUGAUCCGGUGGUUCUGAAUGGAAGGGCCAUCGCUCAACGGAUAAAAGGUACUCCGGGGAUAACAGGCUGAUACCGCCCAAGAGUUCAUAUCGACGGCGGUGUUUGGCACCUCGAUGUCGGCUCAUCACAUCCUGGGGCUGAAGUAGGUCCCAAGGGUAUGGCUGUUCGCCAUUUAAAGUGGUACGCGAGCUGGGUUUAGAACGUCGUGAGACAGUUCGGUCCCUAUCUGCCGUGGGCGCUGGAGAACUGAGGGGGGCUGCUCCUAGUACGAGAGGACCGGAGUGGACGCAUCACUGGUGUUCGGGUUGUCAUGCCAAUGGCACUGCCCGGUAGCUAAAUGCGGAAGAGAUAAGUGCUGAAAGCAUCUAAGCACGAAACUUGCCCCGAGAUG
Molecule: ribosomal RNA, 2585 nt
Filed under: Escherichia coli
Lineage: Bacteria; Pseudomonadati; Pseudomonadota; Gammaproteobacteria; Enterobacterales; Enterobacteriaceae
Description: partial 23S ribosomal RNA
Rfam family: Bacterial large subunit ribosomal RNA
Source: RNAcentral